RNAcentral lists this transfer RNA (85 nucleotides) under Felis catus (domestic cat). It matches the Rfam family "tRNA". From Rfam's summary of the family: Transfer RNA (tRNA) molecules are approximately 80 nucleotides in length. Their secondary structure includes four short double-helical elements and three loops (D, anti-codon, and T loops). The record is from Rfam by way of RNAcentral. Lineage: Eukaryota; Metazoa; Chordata; Mammalia; Carnivora; Felidae.
GCCCGGGUGGCUCAGUCGGCCGAGCGUCUGACUUCGGCUCAGGUAAUGAUCUCAUGGUUUGUGGGUUUGAGCCCCAUGUUGGGCG